Molecule: ribosomal RNA, 242 nt
Filed under: uncultured bacterium
Lineage: Bacteria
Description: partial 16S ribosomal RNA
Rfam family: Bacterial small subunit ribosomal RNA
Source: RNAcentral
GAUCAUGGCUCAGGAUGAACGCUAGCUACAGGCUUAACACAUGCAAGUCGAGGGGCAGCAUUUCAGUUUGCUUGCAAACUGGAGAUGGCGACCGGCGCACGGGUGAGUAACACGUAUCCAACCUGCCGAUAACUCGGGGAUAGCCUUUCGAAAGAAAGAUUAAUACCCGAUGGCAUAAUUAGACCGCAUGGUCUUGUUAUUAAAGAAAUUUCGGUUAUCGAUGGGGAGUGCGUUCCAUUAGG